Rattus norvegicus (Norway rat) is the source of this 749-nucleotide non-coding RNA. NCBI's taxonomy places the organism in Eukaryota, Metazoa, Chordata, Mammalia, Rodentia, Muridae. The record is from RefSeq and is a predicted model, not a curated record.
GGAAAAACUGUUAUGCAGAGAAGAUCUGGAUGGCUUAGGAGAACAUCUCCGGAGCAAGGAGCACCACCUCAUACCCUGCCAGAGAUGCAGAAUGCUCUUAGGCAUUUACGGUGUCGGUUACAACGGGAGAAUGACGCUCGAGAGGCGGGGUCUGUGCGGAGGGAGUUUAGGACAGUUUUCUGUUGACCACACAAAGUUCAAAGAAUGACCUGGGGAGUCUAGAAGCCUCGGCUUCUCCUAUCCUCGGCCACUUAUCUUGCUUGGCUUUUAGCCAAAGCUUCUUUCAACACAUGAUAAGCAUUGGUCCCACAUGGCUCAGAGCCCACCCCAAGAGCAAGAGAACCAAUUCUCCUCAAAAGAAAGAAAGAGAGAGAGAGAGAGAGAGAAAGAAAGAAAGAAAGAAAGAAAGAAAGAAAGAAAGGAAGGAAGGAAGAAGAAAAGAAAGAGAGAAAGAAAAGAUCCCCUGGGAAAUGCACUUUCCUGCACUAUCUAUGUGGCCUGAAGAGAAAGGAAAGACUGUCUUCCUGGAUUGGAGUUCCCAAGAGUGAGCAGAUGUACUCCUGUUGAUCCCCGAGUUCUCUUUCCGGUAGCUGUUCCACAUCUGUUAAGUGUCAACAUGUCACUCCCUUGCCUCGUUCACGUUUUAAUCACUUUUUAUUAUUUUAAGAUGUUCCGAAGAGUCAGAAAUGGAGCCUACUUUGCAACUUUUGGAAGCUUUCCCGAGCCAAUAAACAUGUGGUUCGCUUUAA